GCGCCCGUAGCUCAGCCGGAAAGAGCGUCUGCCUUCUAAGCAGAGGGUCGGGAGUUCGAGUCUCCCCGGGCGCGCCA
Molecule: transfer RNA, 77 nt
Filed under: Terriglobia bacterium
Lineage: Bacteria; Pseudomonadati; Acidobacteriota; Terriglobia
Also listed under: 1 other name
Description: tRNA-Arg
Rfam family: tRNA
About the family: Transfer RNA (tRNA) molecules are approximately 80 nucleotides in length. Their secondary structure includes four short double-helical elements and three loops (D, anti-codon, and T loops). Further hydrogen bonds mediate the characteristic L-shaped molecular structure. tRNAs have two regions of fundamental functional importance: the anti-codon, which is responsible for specific mRNA codon recognition, and the 3' end, to which the tRNAs corresponding amino acid is attached (by aminoacyl-tRNA synthetases). tRNAs cope with the degeneracy of the genetic code in two manners: having more than one tRNA (with a specific anti-codon) for a particular amino acid; and 'wobble' base-pairing, i.e. permitting non-standard base-pairing at the 3rd anti-codon position.
Source: RNAcentral